GGAUGCGAUCAUACCAGCACUAAAGCACCGGAUCCCAUCAGAACUCCGAAGUUAAGCGAGCUUGGGCGACAGUAGUACUAGGAUGGGUGACCUCCUGGGAAGUCCUCGUGUUGCAUUCC
RNAcentral lists this ribosomal RNA (119 nucleotides) under Aegilops tauschii subsp. strangulata. Lineage: Eukaryota; Viridiplantae; Streptophyta; Magnoliopsida; Poales; Poaceae. The record is from RNAcentral.